This is a non-coding RNA of Triticum aestivum (bread wheat), 124 nucleotides long. The record is from Rfam. NCBI's taxonomy places the organism in Eukaryota, Viridiplantae, Streptophyta, Magnoliopsida, Poales, Poaceae.
GACAUCUCCCUCCGUCCGAAAAUACUUACCGGAGAAAUGAGUGUAUCUAGACGUAUUUUAGUUCGAGAUACAUCCAUUUUUGCCCAUUUCUCCGAUAAGUAUUUCCGGACGGGGGGAGUAUGAU